GGUUGAUCUGAUGAUAGUGGGUUGUCAGAACUUAUUCACAUCAGUGUCACUGAAGUUGAUAUGCAACCCCCCCACUGAUAAAUUUGACUGACGAAAA
RNAcentral lists this non-coding RNA (97 nucleotides) under Carlito syrichta (Philippine tarsier). The record is from RNAcentral. Lineage: Eukaryota; Metazoa; Chordata; Mammalia; Primates; Tarsiidae.